GACAGUUUAAAUACGACAGUUUUCGAGGGAGAGAGAAGUUACGAGUGGGUAUUUAAAAACCAUUCAAUUCUCAAUAAACAUCUUUAAAAGCGACAAAUUAUAUUUUGAUAAACGUUUCUUAUAAGUGUAUAAUUGUGUUGUUACUACUUCUACCAUGUGAAUUAUUGUACGUGUGCCAAACCGUCGUAUUGAUUUCUUGGAGUUCUAUAAUUUCUGGACGAUCCGCCAUGUUUGUUAUUCUCCUUUACUAUUUUUAGGCGUAUGCAUAAAUGCAUAUGACAUAUGCCCCCUUUGUUACUGUUUUAUUUGGACUUCUGAUUUAGUAAUAAUUAGUUUAGUUCGGUGGUGAAUUAAGUUAAAUUCGUAAAUAAGAAGAUGGAUUUAAUAGUGAAAUCGUAUAGUAAGGAUAACAGAGACAUACCUGUAUCAUUACAUGAAAAACAUAGUCGACCACCUGAAGACACAUCAGGACAUUUAGAUCAAACAACUUCUAAUUCGUGUCGAUGUGAAGAUAUCAAAACAGAGGAAGAUCCCGAUGUUGUGAUAAUUGAACAGACCCCCGAAGAAAUUGCUGUAGAAAAUUUUACAACAAUGACCCGGCCCACUCUACAACAAAUGCUGGGUAUGGAAUCGGAAAACGAGUUUGAAUUUGUAGAGGCGUUAAAAAAAUACAAUGACGUUUUGUCCAGCCUUGCGGAAGGACUAUCCGGCCAAUUAAUGGGGAGUGUUAUUAGCAGAGACAUUCUUUUUAUCACGGCGAACUACAAGAGAAUAGCUAUCGGAUAUAAAGACAAAUUCUUAGAUAUAAUGGAGCAGAUUCUCAAUACUACCUGCGAAUUGAAUAGGAAUUAUUUUGAGACUGCUAUACCGAGAACCAUUAUACCGAAAAUAACAAUAACGGAAUCUAGAAGAAUUAAACUGUUGUUGCAAGCUGGCCUGUUGAACAGGUGUGAUAGGAUAAUGAAUGUUCUGAUUAAUAUACGAAUAUGUGUGGAUAAAAGUGAACACAAAGUUCUGUGGGCUAAUAUUUUUAUAUAUUUCUUGGCUAGAGUUUUUUCUUAUCGGAAUUACGAUGACAUAGCUGCGGGGUUCAUUAUUUUCCAAAAAUUAAUGAAAAUCAAGACGACGCAAGAAGAACGUAACAUAAUCGAAGGGCACAUGUACAGAAUGCUUGGGAGAAACAACUUGUUAAAAAUUCCAGUCGUAAAGGCUAUGAUGGAGAAAAUGGAGAAGGACAGACUGUAUUCUAUCCGCGAUUUGUGCCUCAUUUAUAACAAUUACAAAAAGGAACAAAACCAAAGAAAAAGGGAGGACUAUGGAGAUAUCUCUUCGUCGAGUCGAAGGAGUGUAUUCAGGAAAUUUAACAUGUUCAGUAGCGACAUUGAUAACAGAGGGCGUCGGCGUUCGCUGUUCCAAUCUCAGUUCUAUUCUAGCUCGCCUUUGGCUCAAAUUCUAGCAGACUGGAAGAUGAGCGGCGUAUCAAGUGAGCACAAACAUAGUGAUCGGUGGAGUAAAAGUUAUAUAGAGCAACGACAAGAGAGUAAGAGCAACAACAACGGCGGUACGGAACUGAAGUGGGGCCCUCUCGAAAAUGAAACUGUGAUAGAAAAAUGUACCGAGACAGCACCAGUUAUUAAAAUAGACGACGACGACUCCGACGAUGAUGAUGUACAGUUUUGCACCGACCUAAAUGAAGAUUCCAAAGUAAAAACAUCAUCGGAACCAAAUGAAGAAGCGGACACUAAAUUUGUACCAUACAAAACUGAACUCAUUUUACAUAGUUCUAAGUACACGUCCAAUAACCAACGUAUAGAGGAGGCUUUGCCAGUAAAAGCAACAAGGCUUAAUGGAAUUGGGAAAACUAUUACAGAACUUAGCAAAAAGAACAAUUUAAAAGAAAAUGCCACAGAUUAUCCUGCAAGCAAAACGAAAACAGACUGCCCUUCAGCACCUGUUAAAUCAGAAAAUCAAGUACCGUCUAUCGACAAAACAGGAGACACGGCCAAAAACAGUGAACAAAAUUGGACGGAAAAUAUAGGUAAACCUCUUAGUAAAAAGGACAAAUUAAAAGAGAAUGCCACAGAUAAUCCUGGAAGCCAAACAAACACAGACUGUCCUUCAGCACCGGUCAAUUCAGGAAAUAAAACACCGUCUGUCAACAAAAUAGGAGACACGGCCAAUGACGUGGACAUUGUAUUUGUACCAGAAGAAAAUGAACCCACUUUAAACGGUUCAAAGUGCGGUGAAACGUCUAUGGAAAUUGACGGAAAUCUUUCGAACGUUGAUGCAGUUCAAGAAUCUCCUUUUACUGACGCAUCCCAUAACCAACGUAUAGAAGAAACUUUGCCAGUAAAAGAUAAUGCUGGAACAAUAACAAGGCCUAAUGAAAUUGUGAGACCUAUUACAGAACCUCUUAGUAAAAAGGACAAAUUAAAAGAGAAUGGCACAGAUAAUCCUGGAAGCAAAACAAAUACAGACUGUCCUUCAGCACCGGUUAAUUCAGGAAAUAAAACACCGUCUGUCAACAAAACAGGAGACACGGUCAAUGACACGGACAGUAUAUUUGUACCAGACGAAAUUGAACCCAUUUUAAACGGUUCAAAGUGCGGUGAAACGUCUAUGGAAAUUGAUGCAGUUCAAGAAUCUCCUUUUACUGACACCACAUCCAAUAAUCAACGUAUAAAAAAGACUUUGCCAAUAAAAGAUAAUGCUGGAACAACAACAAGGCUUAAUGGAAAUAUGAAAACUAUUACAGAACCAAAUAAAGAGGUGGAUAUUAUAUUUGUAUCAGACAAAAAUAAACCCAAUUUAAACGGUUCAAAGUAUGGUGAAACGCCUAUGGAAACUGACACAUCUAAUAACCAACGUAUAGAAGAGUAUUUGCCAGUAAAAGCAACAAGGCUUAAUGGAAUUAUGAAAACUAUUACAGAACCUCUUAGUGAUGAGAACAAAUUAAAAGAGAAUGUCAUAGAUAAUUCUGCAAGCAAAAUAAAUACACACCGCUCUUCAGUAUCUGUUGAAUCGAAAAAUAAAUCACCUUCUGUCAACAAAACAGGAGACAUGGCCAAUGAGACGGACAGUAUAUUUGUACCAGAAGAAAAUGAACCCACUUUAAACGGUUCAAAGUGCGGUGAAACGUCUAUGGAAAUUGACGGAAAUCUUUCGAACGUUGAUGCAGUUCAAGAAUCUCCUUUUACUGACGCAUCCCAUAACCAACGUAUACAAGAAACUUUGCCAGUAAAAGAUAAUGCUGGAACAAUAACAAGGCCUAAUGAAAUUGUGAGACCUAUUACAGAACCUCUUAGUAAAAAGGACAAAUUAAAAGAGAAUGGCACAGAUAAUCCUGGAAGCAAGACAAAUACAGACUGUCCUUCAGCAUCGGUUAAUUCAGGAAAUAAAACACCGUCUGUCAACAAAACAGGAGACACGGCCAAUGACACGGACAGUAUAUUUGUACCGGACGAAAUUGAACCCAUUUUAAACGGUUCAAAGUGCGGUGAAACGUCUAUGGAAAUUGACGGAAAUCUUCUGACCGUCGAUGCAGUUCAAGAAUCUCCUUUUACUGACACCACAUCCAAUAAUCAACGUAUAAAAAAGACUUUGCCAGUAAAAGAUAAUGCUGGAACAACAACAAGGCUUAAUGGAAAUAUGAAAACUAUUACCAACCAACGAUACCAGUGCGGUAAAACGUCUAUGGAAAUUGACGAAAAUCUUCCGAAUGUUGGUGCAGUUCAAUCUCCUUUUACUGAUGCAUCCAAUAACCAACGUAUAGAAGAGACUUUGCCAGUAAAAGAUAAUGCUGAAACAAUAAGGCCUAAUGAAAUUGUGAAAACUAUUACAGAAACUCUUAGUAAUACGAACAUAUUAAAAGAAAAUGACACAGAUAAUCCUGCAAGCAAAACAAAUACAGAACCUGUUAAAUCAGAAAAUCGAUCACCGUUUAUCGACAAAACAGGAGACACGGCCAAAAACAAUGGACAGAAUGGCAGGCGGAACGGCCAAAACCACUUAAUUUUUAUUGAAACUUGUAUAUUACCAGCGAUGUUAAAUCGGACGGAAAAUAUAGGUAAACAGGAGAUUUCGAAAACUAGAGAUAGUAAUGAAGAAAUCUUACCCUCGGUUUUGGACAAACGAUCUAAACCUGCUGGUACAGACAUGGAGGAACCAUUUUCCGAAAAAGACCCUAAAACGUACAUUAAUGGAGAAAUCAGUAAUUCAGAUAAGGAAAAUACAAGCGACGCUGGUUCAAAAUUACUGGAAAUGGAAUCUUCGCAAGAAAAGUAUUCUACCACUGAACUAAUCGAGAAAAACAAUCCAGAAACGCAUUCACAACUUUCGAUACCUGUAGAAUCAAAUAGAGACGAAGAAGCUCUUAAUGUGUCUGAAGUAAAUGAUAAUAUUACUAGCGGAAAUUAUGUGGAAAAGCCUAUGGAUACUGAAGAUCACGAAGCAACAAGAGAAUGUCAUACAGACGUUGCAAUAUCACCGGAGGAAUAUUAUGUAGUCAUACAGCCUGAUACAGGCCAAGAAAUACUGGAAACCUGCUCAGUAAAAGAAGCCAUUGAAGAAACGGGGACAACAGAAGCAACAUGUAACGGGUUGAUAGAAGUUAACAAAGAACACGCUAGGGAUAAUAAUAAUAUAAUAGAUAGGAAACUUCAUUCUGUUAUCAACCCGAAUUUGUUCAGUAAUCACACUGAGCCAACAGAUGAUAAUAUAAAAACAGAUGAGGACAAUAAUACAGACCAAGAAAGUGUGGAUCAGGAUCCAGCUUCUCCCGCCUUUGACGAACUUGACGUUCCUGAUGUAAAAACUUAUUUUGAGUCACAGGGAAUCAGUAAGGGAGAGGGAAUCAGUAGAGGGAAUCACAGGGAAUCAGUAGAGGAAUCAGGCACGUUUCUAUGUCCAAAUGAGGAAACUUCUUCGAUCACCGGAACUUCACAAGUAAAACCGACAGCUGAAACUAGGACACCUUCAGACGAUCCGUUACAACGUCCGUAUAAAAAUGCUAAAGAGUAUGUUGCAGUCUUUUGUGCCUCAAUAAAGGAGAAUUGUGACACGGACAAAGGAAAAACCAGCAGCGAAAGUAGCGAAGAAAACAUCUACGGUUUUGUCGAGCUUCCAAAAGAUGUUUUACCCAGUACAGAUUCGGCAAAACCUGAAAGCAUCGAGGAUAUUAAGAAGGAAAUACUAAAAACGGAACCUAGCGGUGCUCCACAAGUGCUUCCGUCGCCUACGCCUCAAAGAUGCGCGGUGACGAGAGCAAGUACGAAAAACGCGAACUCUGGAUCGAAUGUGAGAAAGCGUUCUGAUCCCUAUUCUGACGAACUGUAUCAGUACAACAUGGAGGGCGCUGUAGGAAAACCGCGUCGCGUUGGCAACGACGAAUACAGUCCGUUCGACAACUGGAGCGACGAAAGCGGAGACGUUGUCAGGUUAGGCAAAGAACCAACUCCUGCUCUUCCCAAUGGCGGUCGUAUUUCCGUGGUUUCGGCAAAUCAAGCGCCGCCACCUAGUAUCCUCAAGGUUAAAGCGGAACCGGACGGCAGAGCAUCGAAAUCGAAACGGAAAGCGCCCAGCUCUAAUAACUCUAACUCUCCCAGCUCUAAUAACAGGAGACGCACUAUCCAUGUGCCGGUAAGCGCGGGCGAAAUUAUUAACGAACCGACGACCCUUCAAGAAAAAAAACCGACUAACUUAAAUAAUUAUUUUAGUAAUUUGUAUUUGCCUAAUAGUAGUAGUAGUAGUAGUAGUAGUAGUUCAAAUGUACGGUUACAAAACUUAAACUUGCCAGUUUACAAUCACUUACCGUAUCCUAAUCCAUCUAACUUGUAUUGCGACAAUUUACAAAGUUCAAGCAAUCUAUUUUCUUCUCACAUAAAAUCAGAAAUCGAACAGUCGAAUAGUCAGGAGAAAAUCAUAAAAAGUGAAGAGUUUGGCGCAAUCACGAAGACAAUAAGCGACUCGAACGCCGUUCUAUACCCAGACAGCGUGUUUUGUACGGACACGGAAAAUCUGAACUACCUCAAUGCAGUGUUGCCGGCGCCAGUUCCCCAACUCGCGACGGACAGUCUGUUCCAAGACCACCUGAUGCCAAGUAUCGGGAAUUUUGUUAGUUCAGAAGAACCCGCUUAUCUCGGCCAGAACCUCGAUAACAAUCCAGUUUAUCCACACGGAAUGGGCCAGUUGCACGGAGAUUCUAAGGUAGCUUAUCAUCCUCAAACGACGAUGUACUCUUACCAUCCGACUCCCGUGCCGGAAGUCACUCAAAAUGUUAUGUCACAGAAUCCCCAACCUGUAAACGAAUGUACGAAAAAGAUGCCCUUUAAGAAACGCAAACCGUACGAAGAACACAAGAUGAACGAAGUCGUCAAACCCGAAUCAUAUCGCGUUUAUGAAGAUAUAUCGUACCCGGCCAAACGCCAGAUGUCUAUCGCCGAUCUACAGCGAUCCAUAUCGUCGGAUUUUCACCGGGUCGAUCGGUUUCCUACUCAGAUCAAAACGCCCGCGGCCAGAAAACUGUAUCCCGAAGGCACUUGUCAUUGUACGAACGAUCGCCACCGCGAAGGGUACCAGCAACACGACUGCAACAAAUCGUCGAAUUUUUUCGCGCGUAUUUUCAUCGACAGGCCUAGAGAGCGCUCGCCGAACUGUGCUUGUAACAAGAUGAGCUUGACGAUCGAAACGGGGCACAGGUGCAGCCAUACGCCCGAGAACGAUGGACAAUCGCCUCAGAAUUACAAGCGACACGCGCCCGUGUUGCAGUCGGUCCCCAACAACGUUCAGAGACCCCCAGAUAGGAGGGAGGAACCGGUGUACGAGCCUAAACCUAAACGUAGCAGGAAAGCGCCCGAGGUUUCUGAACCCAAAAGGAAGAGGGGUAGGCCUAGGAAGAAUCCCAAUUAGAAGAUCGUAAAAACGAAGAAUAUCGAAGAAAUCAUCGGAAGACGAUUGAAUAUUUUGAAUUAUUUUGUUUUUAAAAUAUACAAUUCCUUCCUUUAAAAAAAACUUUUAAGAGAUAUUCGUGCAUCAGUAUUAAUAAUAUUAAUCUUAUUUCAGUAUUUUUAUUCGUUCUAAAUAAUAAUACCGAUAACUAUAUGGCUGUGCAUUUAGUCUUUUUUUUUUGAAAACCUCACAGAAGAUUGCUAUUACUCGAAGAUGGUUAUUGCUGCGAAGAUACUGAAGAUCUGCGUUUAUUUUUGGUCUACUUGAACGAUUGAAAACUAUAAAUGCUAAUUAAAGAAGAAGAAAAUCGUUACAAAGAAUAUUUUAACUAGUUAAAAAUGGCUACUAUAUAUGAAGUGAUCGUAUUUUCGAUAUAUGUUUGACUUAUAUUUUUCACACUGUCUUUUAAAUUAUGUGUUAUAUUAUUGAAAAAAGAACGAUUAACGAAGAGAUCGAAGCUUCUUCAUACCGAAUAGAAAUUAAAAUGUAAUAGCUGUUUAAAUGUAAAAGGGAAUAACCGAAUUUUCUUUUUUAAGGCGCAAAAGUUAUUGAAGUUAGCAAAGGUGUGAAUCACAGCAUUCAACAGGCGAAUCAGAGGAAACGGCAACGAACAGAGUCUGAUAAGAAGUCGCCCACAAAAAGAACACAUGUUCGAUUUGACGUCAAA
This is an RNA transcript of Sitophilus oryzae (rice weevil), 7612 nucleotides long. RefSeq lists it as uncharacterized. The transcript has 19 exons. NCBI's taxonomy places the organism in Eukaryota, Metazoa, Arthropoda, Insecta, Coleoptera, Curculionidae. The record is from RefSeq and is a predicted model, not a curated record.